CCAUGAGUAAAGUGGCGACCGGGUGAGUAACACGUGACUAACCUACCUUCGAGUGGGGAAUAACCUCGGGAAACCGAGGCUAAUACCGCAUAAUAUCGCAAGAUCAAAGCAGCAAUGCGCUGGAAGAGGGGGUCGCGGCUGAUUAGCUAGUUGGCGGGGUAACGGCCCACCAAGGCGAAGAUCGGUAUCCGGCCUGAGAGGGCGCACGGACACACUGGAACUGAAACACGGUCCAG
Molecule: ribosomal RNA, 236 nt
Filed under: uncultured bacterium
Lineage: Bacteria
Description: partial 16S ribosomal RNA
Rfam family: Bacterial small subunit ribosomal RNA
Source: RNAcentral